Molecule: ribosomal RNA, 480 nt
Filed under: uncultured bacterium
Lineage: Bacteria
Description: bacterial SSU rRNA
Rfam family: Bacterial small subunit ribosomal RNA
Source: RNAcentral
UGCGAACUCCUACGGGAGGCAGCAGUGGGGAAUUUUGGACAAUGGGCGAAAGCCUGAUCCAGCAAUGCCGCGUGCAGGAUGAAGGCCCUCGGGUUGUAAACUGCUUUUGUACGGAACGAAAAGCCUGGGGCUAAUAUCCCCGGGUCAUGACGGUACCGUAAGAAUAAGCACCGGCUAACUACGUGCCAGCAGCCGCGGUAAUACGUAGGGUGCAAGCGUUAAUCGGAAUUACUGGGCGUAAAGCGUGCGCAGGCGGUUUUGUAAGACAGUGGUGAAAUCCCCGGGCUCAGCCUGGGAACUGCCAUCGUGACUGCAAGGCUAGAGUGCGGCAGAGGGGGAUGGAAUUCCGCGUGUAGCAGUGAAAUGCGUAGAUAUGCGGAGGAACACCGAUGGCGAAGGCAAUCCCCUGGGCCUGCACUGACGCUCAUGCACGAAAGCGUGGGGAGCAAACAGGAUUAGAAACCCCGGGUAAUCCAGAUG